AAGUUUUCAUAACAAAUGUAAAAUUCCUAUAUGGUAACAUAUUUUCUUGGUCGAAUAUUUAUGAUAAGACAUAGGAGGCAGCAUCUUUUUUUAUUGUCAAAAUAGGAGGCAACAUCUCCAUUCUCCACCAAGACAAAACAAGUAGGCCACAUCACAAGCACAUCCAAAUGCCCAGUUCACUGAUCAUCUUCUCAAUGUCAAACAAAACUAUUGGUUACCCCAAGCCAUUCAAAUGCUCAAGUCACACUCAGUUCACUGUAGGGCACAUCACAAGCCCAUAUCCAAAAGCUCGAUGGUCAACGUUUGAAAAGCUUAGGAGCAGCACACCAUCCUCUUUGGGGGUUCCUCCUCUUCUAUGGAGGACUCCCUGGCUAGUUGAGUUUAUGGAGGCUACACAGAUUUUUGAAGAAUAUUUGAGUUUUGCAGUCAUGAAUCAGGGACAAUAUGAAGGUGUUCCUUUGCUUGCGAUGAUUAAUUGCUGUUUUGGGCAAGGAGUGUGUCGAUCUUGAAUUGAUAAAUCUAUAGUAUUCAUAUUCGGGUGAAUUGUCACUUUGGUCCCUAUUGUUUCACACAUCGGGCAAUUUGAUCCCUAUUCUAUGGAAACGUCGCCCGUGGUCCCUGAUGUUGCAAAUCGUCGAUCACGUUGGUCUCUGGCACUGCUCCCGUUAGUGAACGUUAACAGGAAGGGUGAUUUGGCACGUUAAGUGUUCCUCUACCACUGCAUCGUUUUUGUCAAACUCAAAGAUCCAGGUUGUUAAAGGCAGUGUAUUUAUCACAUAGAAAACAUGAAUUUUGGAGCAUCAUUGUGCAGAGUGCAGACGAUUGAAUAUCAAGGAACUUGUGACAAAUGUUCUUGUAUACAGAAGCACUGGUGAUGUUUCUAGAGAAGGGUUGAGUUUGGUUAUCAGUCGUUGGGCCUCCAAGAAGACAGCGGGUUCCACAAAGAAUGGACGGGACUCAAAACCCAAGAACCUAGGAGUGAAGAAAUUUUGGUGGGGAGGUAUGAGUUAUUUUAUGCUUUAAGCAAGAAUUUAUUAAUUUUAUGAUAUGGUAUCGGAAGAAGAGAAUUGAAUCUGGAUUGUAUGCAGAGGGUGAUACCUGGAAAUGUCAUUGUUUUUUAGAUGAAACGAAAUAUAUAUUAAGAACUCAAAGAACUCAAUACAUCCGCUUGAAGGAAAGAAACUAAACUUGGGGGAGCAUUCUCCACCCAGUCAACAUUGGGAAAAUCAUAUGCUAAUUUUGCAACAAAAUCAGCCGCUUGAUUUCCCGUUCUCCUAAUAAAACUGAAAUUAAAAGACUCAAAGGACAAAUGCAAUAAUCCGACAAUCAGCAAGAACAUAAGCAAAAUAAGAAAUCUCAUUUUCCCUCCCAUGCCAAGCCUUGACAAGCACUUGACAAUCUGACUCGAAGACGACACGCGUGAACCCAAAUGCAAGAGCUUUACGGAGUGCCCAGCGCAAACAAAGUGUCUCAGCCAAGAUAAGUGAAGAAGUGGGCGUGAUCGGUCCACAAGCUGCAGCCAGCAAGCUUCCCUCUCCAUGGUACUCGUUUUCAUCCCAGAAACUAUGUUGGAAUAGGGAAAGAUCAUACUCUGUUUGCUUUGAAGCAGGGCUUGGUGAAGUUUGAACAGAACAAGCUGACCGGUCGCAAGUGAGUGCAUGUUGAGCCUAAGGAACAGGGGCGUAUCUAGGUGGGGGCAGGCAGGGGCCAUCGCCCCCCAAGAAUUUUGAAAUGUUCAACGACUAUAGGUAUUUUUAUAUAGAAGAUGUUAUAACAUUUUGUGAUACUCAUCAAGUUGAAGUUCCUGACAUGAAAGCCCCUUAUUUUAUGGGUAAUGAUCUUCAUAGGAAACAAGAUGGAGAUAUAUGAAACAUCAUUAUAUGAUAUAUGUAUUUUAUUCUGCAAUUGAUUUGCAACUAUAUGAAUUAAAUAGAAGAUUUAAUGUA
Long non-coding RNA from Lotus japonicus, 1946 nucleotides. RefSeq lists it as uncharacterized. The record is from RefSeq and is a predicted model, not a curated record. NCBI's taxonomy places the organism in Eukaryota, Viridiplantae, Streptophyta, Magnoliopsida, Fabales, Fabaceae. The transcript has 3 exons.